This 261-nucleotide long non-coding RNA is filed under the name Hordeum vulgare. RNAcentral's name for it is "long non-coding RNA (HVUL_LNC015815)". Lineage: Eukaryota; Viridiplantae; Streptophyta; Magnoliopsida; Poales; Poaceae. The record is from RNAcentral.
CCUUCCUUUUCCUUUUAACUCCCCCUGUUCGUGCGACACCACAACAUAAGCCCCCCUGUUUGCCUGGCUCCCUUUUAACCCCCUAGUUGUGCUAACGAUGUUGCUAAUGGCCCCCUUUGAGUUGAUUAGCUCUACAUUAAGAAAAUAAUAGCACAGUCUAGUCUAAUUAUUUUCUGAAAUGACAAAACUGCACUCCCUCAUCUAGUAUAAGUCACACGAGCUGGGCAGAAGCUGCUCCCGUUCUCUACUCGUUCCCCUCCC